CAAUACUCUGUAUAAAACACAGAUUAUUUGUGAGGUGUUAGUGCAACCACUGUAUUAUGCAUUAGCAUACAUCCCAAUGUUAACAGGUUGGUGGGCCUUCUGGGGACAUCACUACUGAUGCAACAUUUGUCAGAAAGUGGGAAAUAUCAGUCUGACGUCAAGCAUGCCAGGAUAACUGACAGCCUUUCUGUGUAGCAUCGAACAGAGAAGACCAUGCAGAGAGCGCUGCUGCAGUUCACUCUGAAUGGUCUUAGUGCCCUCCCCAGAGCAGAGCAUGUAUAAUGAUGUGUUCAUGCUGUGCUGCCUGGGGACAGUUUCCUGGUAUCCCAUGCAGGACACCAAGAGACUAAAAUUAGGACCACAGGACAAGACCCUACAAUGGGAACCUUCCCUCUGAAAUUGGAACUGUUGGUAGGCCUAAGUU
Non-coding RNA from Pelobates cultripes (western spadefoot toad), 424 nucleotides. The record is from the annotation of a GenBank genome assembly. Lineage: Eukaryota; Metazoa; Chordata; Amphibia; Anura; Pelobatidae.